This 195-nucleotide small RNA is filed under the name Mycoplasmoides pneumoniae M129. RNAcentral's name for it is "Mycoplasma pneumoniae M129 ncRNA". Lineage: Bacteria; Bacillati; Mycoplasmatota; Mycoplasmoidales; Mycoplasmoidaceae. The record is from RNAcentral.
AAGCAAUGCAACUCUUUUAUUGUGGCAUUGACUUUUUAUUUGACCAGGAUCGUUCGUUAAUUUUCUGCGAAGUUAAUUCCAAUGUACAGCUCACCAAAAGCUCGAUGUAUUUGAAAACUAACCUCGCCAUUCAACUUUUAGCAUCAAUCGCAUAAUGGCCAAAAUUAAGUUAAAAAACAGAAAAGCACUCGUUGU